RNAcentral lists this ribosomal RNA (253 nucleotides) under uncultured bacterium. RNAcentral's name for it is "partial 16S ribosomal RNA". It matches the Rfam family "Bacterial small subunit ribosomal RNA", at positions 524 to 776 of the family's 1533-position model. The record is from RNAcentral.
UACGGGGGGGGCAAGCGUUGUUCGGAAUUACUGGGCGUAAAGGGCUCGUAGGCGGCCAACUAAGUCAGACGUGAAAUCCCUCGGCUUAACCGGGGAACUGCCUCUGAUACUGGAUGGCUAGAGGUUGGGAGAGGGAUGCGGAAUUCCAGGUGUAGCGGUGAAAUGCGUAGAUAUCUGGAGGAAUACCGGUGGCGAAGGCGGCAACCUGGACCGGCAUUGACGCUGAGGAGCGAAAGCCAGGGGAGCAAACGGG